AUACGGAGGGGGCUAGCGUUGUUCGGAAUUACUGGGCGUAAAGCGCGUGUAGGCGGAUCGUUAAGUCAGGGGUGAAAGCCCGGGGCUCAACCCCGGAACUGCCCUUGAUACUGGCGAUCUAGAGUCCGGAAGAGGUGGGCGGAAUUCCCGGUGUAGAGGUGAAAUUCGUAGAUAUCGGGAGGAACACCAGUGGCGAAGGCGGCUCACUGGUCCGGCACUGACGCUGAGACGCGAAAGCGUGGGGAGCAAACAGGAUUAGAAACCCCAGUAGUCC
This 274-nucleotide ribosomal RNA is filed under the name uncultured bacterium. RNAcentral describes it as "partial 16S ribosomal RNA". It matches the Rfam family "Bacterial small subunit ribosomal RNA", at positions 523 to 796 of the family's 1533-position model. The record is from RNAcentral.